This 370-nucleotide ribosomal RNA is filed under the name uncultured bacterium. RNAcentral describes it as "bacterial SSU rRNA". It matches the Rfam family "Bacterial small subunit ribosomal RNA", at positions 527 to 896 of the family's 1533-position model. The record is from RNAcentral.
GGAGSGUGCAAGCGUUAAUCGGAAUUACUGGGCGUAAAGCGCACGCAGGCGGUUGGAUAAGUUAGAUGUGAAAGCCCCGGGCUCAACCUGGGAAUUGCAUUUAAAACUGCCCAGCUAGAGUCUUGUAGAGGGGGGUAGAAUUCCAGGUGUAGCGGUGAAAUGCGUAGAGAUCUGGAGGAAUACCGGUGGCGAAGGCGGCCCCCUGGACAAAGACUGACSCUCAGGUGCGAAAGCGUGGGGAGCAAACAGGAUUAGAUACCCUGGUAGUCCACGCCGUAAACGAUGUCGAUUUGGAGGCUGUGUCCUUGAGACGUGGCUUCCGGAGCUAACGCGUUAAAUCGACCGCCUGGGGAGUACGGCCGCAAGGUUA